AAGCAAACCCUUAUAUCCCAUCUGUCUCUUUCCUUCCUCUCUCUCUCUCUCUAACCUAAUUUCCCAUCAAAACCAUCAACUUUUGUGGCUCCAUGCCAGAGAGUUAGAGAGAGAAAGCUCAGGCACAUGCACCUUCCCCUGGAUACUAUCUAUUGGAUAAAACAGGUGCUGUAGACGAUUCAGCUUUGAGGAAGAGAGAUAAGAUGCGCAGGUGGCUCUGUUGUACAUGUCAGGUAGAAGAAUCAUAUCCAUCACACGAAAAUGAGCAACUAAGAAGCCCAAAAAGCUACACAGAUGGGAACCCUGUGAAAGGCUCGAAGGUAUCAGCUCCUGUCAAAGCUGAAGUUCAGAAGGAAGCACCUCCAAUUGAAGUGCCUGCGUUGUCUUUAGAUGAACUGAAAGAGAAGACUGACAAUUUCGGUUCAAAGGCAUUGAUUGGUGAAGGAUCGUAUGGAAGAGUAUAUUAUGCUAACUUAGAUAAUGGGAAAGCUGUUGCCGUAAAAAAACUUGAUACAGCAUCUGAGCAAGAAUCAAAUGUUGAAUUUUUGACUCAGGUUUCCAUGGUUUCAAAAUUGAAGCAUGAAAAUGUUGUUGAGUUGCUUGGUUACUGUGUGGAAGGAAAUCUUCGAGUGCUUGCUUAUGAAUUUGCAACAAUGGGUUCUCUCCAUGACAUAUUGCAUGGUAGAAAAGGAGUUCAAGGGGCACAACCAGGUCCUACUCUUGACUGGAUGCAGCGUGUGAGAAUUGC
This 748-nucleotide unclassified non-coding RNA is filed under the name Hevea brasiliensis (rubber tree). Lineage: Eukaryota; Viridiplantae; Streptophyta; Magnoliopsida; Malpighiales; Euphorbiaceae. The record is from RNAcentral.